Molecule: ribosomal RNA, 107 nt
Filed under: Salvator merianae (Argentine black and white tegu)
Lineage: Eukaryota; Metazoa; Chordata; Lepidosauria; Squamata; Teiidae
Source: RNAcentral
ACUGCAGUACCUAGCUGAUUUACAUUGCUCUCGAAAAGUCAAGCAAGGUCAGCCCUGGUUAGUACUUGGAUGGGAGACCACUAGGCAAUCCCAGGGCUACAGAAGGU